UUUAGUGGAUUGAAUUCUCAAGUAGAGACCUGAGAAGUAGAUGUAGGUGCAAGAUUGGCACCGAACCACUAUAAAUCCUUUGUGUUUGUUAUGCUUACCUCUUUUAUCUUAUUCUUUGUGCUCAUUACUUGCUUACUUCUUAUUUGUGUUUGAUUUUGUUUCUAUUGCAAGUUGAUGCACUUCACUCUUCAUCUUGGCACAUUGCUUAAGUAGUUCAAUUUUUAAAAUUUCAAAAAGAUCCAAUUCACCCCUCCUCUUGGGCUCCGUAUCUGGGCAACAGAUCUUAUGGAUUUUUCAAUAAUUUUAGCCAAGAUUCAACCCCCUUCCUCAAUCUGACUUGGAAGUCAGUCAGACGGGCUGAUCCAUCUUUUCUUUGCUGAGUCAAUGAUGAAGUCUUUUGAGUGAUGUAUUAUGACUUUACUCAUAUCAUAGAUACUACUUUUAAGCUUUUUUUUAUUGGGAACUCUCAUUGUUCUUCAGCACAGCCUCUGAAAGUUUUUUUUUUUC
This 507-nucleotide long non-coding RNA is filed under the name Elaeis guineensis (African oil palm). RNAcentral's name for it is "long non-coding RNA (EGUI_LNC055696)". The record is from RNAcentral. Lineage: Eukaryota; Viridiplantae; Streptophyta; Magnoliopsida; Arecales; Arecaceae.